Molecule: ribosomal RNA, 508 nt
Filed under: uncultured bacterium
Lineage: Bacteria
Description: partial 16S ribosomal RNA
Rfam family: Bacterial small subunit ribosomal RNA
Source: RNAcentral
GAUGAACGCUAGCUACAGGCUUAACACAUGCAAGUCGAGGGGAAACGAUAUUGGAAGCUUGCUUCCGAUAGGCGUCGACCGGCGCACGGGUGAGUAACGCGUAUCCAACCUGCCCACCACUUGGGGAUAACCUUGCGAAAGUAAGACUAAUACCCAAUGACGUCCAUAGAAGACAUCUGAAAUGGAUUAAAGAUUUAACGGUGAUGGAUGGGGAUGCGGCUGAUUAGCUUGUUGGCGGGGUAAGGGCCCAUCAAGGCGACGAUCAGUAAGGGGUCUGAGACGAAGGUCCCCCACAUAGGAACUGAGACACGGUCCAAACUCCUACGGGAGGCAGCAGUGAGGAAUAUUGGUCAAUGGGCGAGAGCCUGAACCAGCCAAGUAGCGUGCAGGAUAACGGCCCUAUGGGUUGUAAACUGCUUUUAUAAGGGAAUAAAGUGAGUCUCGUGAGACUUUUUGCAUGUACCUUAUGAAUAAGGACCGGCUAAUUCCGUGCCAGCCGCCGCUGUAA